UAGGGUAUAGCUCAGUGGUAGAGCUUUUGUCUAACAUACUCUGGGUUUGAUUCCCAGCACCUCAA
This 65-nucleotide transfer RNA is filed under the name Fukomys damarensis (Damara mole-rat). It matches the Rfam family "tRNA". From Rfam's summary of the family: Transfer RNA (tRNA) molecules are approximately 80 nucleotides in length. The record is from Rfam by way of RNAcentral. Lineage: Eukaryota; Metazoa; Chordata; Mammalia; Rodentia; Bathyergidae.